Brienomyrus brachyistius is the source of this 836-nucleotide long non-coding RNA. RefSeq lists it as uncharacterized. The record is from RefSeq and is a predicted model, not a curated record. Lineage: Eukaryota; Metazoa; Chordata; Actinopteri; Osteoglossiformes; Mormyridae. The transcript is spliced from 3 exons.
UGAGUUGUUACGGAGGUCCAGGUAGACGAGGUCACUGUAGAGGACCAGGAAGUCAGAAGGAAUCUUGGGGAUCCAAUUGUUGGAGAGCAGGAGGCGGCGGACAUCCAGCGGGAGGGGAUCUGGCAGCAGGAAUCGUGAUUCAUCGGACCGGGCUGCAUUUUUCCAGUUUCCAGCUGUCCAGUUUUGGCUAAUUAGGAUCCAACUCUUGACCUCAGAUUGGCCUUCACAGACAGGGCUGGAAUCUGAAAAUUCCAGGCCAAUCCUAUGUUCUGGAUUUACAGAAGACCUGGAUGUUUGACCAAAACUUUAUGAAAACUGUCUAUGCAAGAAAUAUGAAGCCCUUGAUAGAUAUUAUGAUGCCACAUCGGCAGGCUUCCCGGGCCGCGUGUGUUCUCCGGAGGAUUUCCAGCCAGGUCAGGGAACGGAAGCAGAGAUGCUAGGUGUGACCACAGCAUUUCCCCCAGAAUUUGGUCACCUCAGGGCUGGAGGAACAGCGAAUGAUGUCAGGGGCAAAAUUCAGGAGAGAAGCGUGUCCCAAGCGAGGGCUGCUGCCGCUCCUGGCGGGAAUCGCUCAGCUUACCCUUUUUCGGACAGCAGCCAUGGCGAUUUGCUUUACAAAAUUAGGGCAGUCAAACCAAAUAUAUAUUAUCAUGUUCACAGCAGAAAUAUAUAAAAAAAUGUGUCAUGUCAGAUGGGGAGGGGGGAGGUUGAUUUGGUUUGUUUCGGUUGAUGUGAGUCACCAGUCCCCCGUUCAUUCCCUGCUGUCCCUCAGGCAAACCUGAGCCGAGUCCAGCACUGCUUGUCUCAUUCUCACCACAAUGGCUAUUUCUGUUGUG